CUUGCACUUUCCCCAUCACCCCAACCCUAACUGAAUUAGAGGGCAAGCACUGCGCUAGUAGAGCGAACGACGGCGAGCACGGUGCUGGCGGAGCGAAGCAAACGACGGCAAGGGACUACCUACGGGCUGAUGGCGUAGCACGGUGCGACGGCUCCCCCUCUGGGCAAGCUCGACGGCGGCAGGGAACAUGUACUAGGUAUUGGUUCGAGGAAGAAUAUGUGGUGUUCUUUCAUUAUAACGGAUAUCUACCAAUGACUUCCUCGAUCGUUGCAGCAGCUUCGACAAUAGAAGUUCCUAAGAUUGUGAGAAGAAUUGUUAGCUUAGAGAAAAAUCUGAAUGAGGUGAAGGACAAAGUUGGCAACAACAGGGAAGGAAUGGGAAGCUGCAUUUGUCUUGUGUGCGGAUGUGUGAAUGUAACACUAUUCCUGUUGUUGGCCAUCGUUUUGCUUGUAGUUGUAGUGCUCAAGUAGGCAAGGCUGAUGAAGUAUGGGCAUUUCUGUUGAAGUUGUGUGUUGAAGAACACAAUGUAUUGAAUCUGUUGUAUUUGCAUUUGCUAUGAAGUAUGGGCCUUUAUGGGCAUUCCAUGA
This is an RNA transcript of Zea mays, 587 nucleotides long. It is a transcript of the gene named protein-like pseudogene, with no coding region annotated. The record is from RefSeq and is marked validated. The transcript has 2 exons. Lineage: Eukaryota; Viridiplantae; Streptophyta; Magnoliopsida; Poales; Poaceae.